Molecule: ribosomal RNA, 643 nt
Filed under: uncultured bacterium
Lineage: Bacteria
Description: bacterial SSU rRNA
Rfam family: Bacterial small subunit ribosomal RNA
Source: RNAcentral
CAAAGGAAGCGAUUCCGGCGGGGGAUGGGCAUGCGGCGCAUUAGCUAGUCGGCGGGGUAACGGCCCACCGAGGCGACGAUGCGUAGGGGUUCUGAGAGGAAGGUCCCCCACACUGGUACUGAGACACGGACCAGACUCCUACGGGAGGCAGCAGUGAGGAAUAUUGGUCAAUGGGCGGGAGCCUGAACCAGCCAAGUCGCGUGAGGGAAGACGGUCCUACGGAUUGUAAACCUCUUUUGCCGGGGAGCAACGGGGUCCUUGCGAGGGCCCAAUGAGAGUACCCGGAGAAAAAGCAUCGGCUAACUCCGUGCCAGCAGCCGCGGUAAUACGGAGGAUGCGAGCGUUAUCCGGAUUUAUUGGGUUUAAAGGGUGCGUAGGCGGGCUGUUAAGUCAGCGGUCAAAUGUCGGGGCUCAACCCCGGCCUGCCGUUGAAACUGGCGGCCUCGAGUGGGCGAGAAGUAUGCGGAAUGCGUGGUGUAGCGGUGAAAUGCAUAGAUAUCACGCAGAACUCCGAUUGCGAAGGCAGCAUACCGGCGCCCGACUGACGCUGAGGCACGAAAGCGUGGGUAUCGAACAGGAUUAGAUACCCUGGUAGUCCACGCAGUAAACGAAGAAUGCUAGCUGUCCGGGACUUCGGUCCUGG